RNAcentral lists this unclassified non-coding RNA (148 nucleotides) under uncultured fungus. Its description in RNAcentral is "sequence contains ITS1". The record is from RNAcentral. Lineage: Eukaryota; Fungi.
UUAAUGUUUGUAUUGAUUCAGACACAGGCUAUUCGGCAUAAAUACGGCGCCGAAGCGCCGAAGCACGUUGUUUGCUUCCACAGGUUUGAAGGGUAGAAGGUCAAAAGACCAUUCAAUAAUGAUCCCUCCGCAGGUUCACCUACGGAGA